RNAcentral lists this ribosomal RNA (373 nucleotides) under uncultured organism. RNAcentral describes it as "partial 16S ribosomal RNA". It matches the Rfam family "Bacterial small subunit ribosomal RNA", at positions 527 to 896 of the family's 1533-position model. The record is from RNAcentral.
GUAGGUGGCAAGCGUUGUCCGGAAUUAUUGGGCGUAAAGCGCGCGCAGGCGGGUUCUUUAAGUCUGAUGUGAAAGCCCACGGGCUCAACCGUGGAGGGUCAUUGGAAACUGGAGAACUUGAGUACAGAAGAGGAAAGCGGAACUCCACGUGUAGCGGUGAAAUGCGUAGAGAUGUGGAGGAACACCAGUGGCGAAGGCGGCUUUCUGGUCUGUAACUGACGCUGAGGCGCGAAAGCGUGGGGAGCAAACAGGAUUAGAUACCCUGGUAGUCCACGCCGUAAACGAUGAGUGCUAAGUGUUAGGGGGUUUCCGCCCCUUAGUGCUGCAGCUAACGCAUUAAGCACUCCGCCUGGGGAGUACGGCCGCAAGGCUG